UACAGAGGUCUCAAGCGUUGUUCGGAUUCAUUGGGCGUAAAGGGUGCGUAGGCGGCGCGGUAAGUCGGGUGUGAAAUCUCGGAGCUUAACUCCGAAACUGCAUUCGAUACUGCCGUGCUUGAGGACUGGAGAGGAGACUGGAAUUUACGGUGUAGCGGUGAAAUGCGUAGAGAUCAGGCGGAACACCCGUGGCGAAGGCGGCCAGCUGGGCCGUCCCUGACGCUGAGGCGCGAAGGCGUGGGGAGCGAACGGG
RNAcentral lists this ribosomal RNA (253 nucleotides) under uncultured bacterium. Its description in RNAcentral is "partial 16S ribosomal RNA". It matches the Rfam family "Bacterial small subunit ribosomal RNA", at positions 524 to 776 of the family's 1533-position model. The record is from RNAcentral.